Molecule: ribosomal RNA, 409 nt
Filed under: bacterium
Lineage: Bacteria
Also listed under: 1 other name
Description: partial 16S ribosomal RNA
Rfam family: Bacterial small subunit ribosomal RNA
Source: RNAcentral
UGGGGAAUAUUGCACAAUGGGCGAAAGCCUGAUGCAGCGACGCCGCGUGAGGGACGAAGGCCUUCGGGUUGUAAACCUCUUUCAGCAGGGAAGAAGCGAAAGUGACGGUACCUGCAGAAGAAGCGCCGGCUAACUACGUGCCAGCAGCCGCGGUAAUACGUAGGGCGCAAGCGUUAUCCGGAAUUAUUGGGCGUAAAGAGCUCGUAGGCGGUUUGUCGCGUCUGCUGUGAAAGCCCGGGGCUCAACCCCGGGUCUGCAGUGGGUACGGGCAGACUAGAGUGCAGUAGGGGAGACUGGAAUUCCUGGUGUAGCGGUGAAAUGCGCAGAUAUCAGGAGGAACACCGAUGGCGAAGGCAGGUCUCUGGGCUGUAACUGACGCUGAGGAGCGAAAGCAUGGGGAGCGAACAGG